UACGUAGGGGGCAAGCGUUGUCCGGAAUCAUUGGGCGUAAAGAGCGUGUAGGCGGCCCGAUAAGUCCGCUGUGAAAGUCGGGGGCUCAACCCUCGAAUGCCGGUGGAUACUGUCGGGCUAGAGUGCGGAAGAGGCGAGUGGAAUUCCUGGUGUAGCGGUGAAAUGCGCAGAUAUCAGGAGGAACACCUAUUGCGAAGGCAGCUCGCUGGGACGUUACUGACGCUGAGACGCGAAAGCGUGGGGAGCAAACAGG
RNAcentral lists this ribosomal RNA (253 nucleotides) under uncultured bacterium. RNAcentral's name for it is "partial 16S ribosomal RNA". It matches the Rfam family "Bacterial small subunit ribosomal RNA", at positions 524 to 776 of the family's 1533-position model. The record is from RNAcentral.